RNAcentral lists this ribosomal RNA (614 nucleotides) under uncultured bacterium. RNAcentral's name for it is "bacterial SSU rRNA". The stretch from base 1 to 524 matches the Rfam family "Bacterial small subunit ribosomal RNA", at positions 338 to 873 of the family's 1533-position model. The record is from RNAcentral.
CCUACGGGAGGCAGCAGUGGGGAAUAUUGGACAAUGGGCGAAAGCCUGAUCCAGCAAUGCCGCGUGAGUGAUGAAGGCCUUAGGGUUGUAAAGCUCUUUUACCCGGGAUGAUAAUGACAGUACCGGGAGAAUAAGCCCCGGCUAACUCCGUGCCAGCAGCCGCGGUAAUACGGAGGGGGCUAGCGUUGUUCGGAAUUACUGGGCGUAAAGCGCACGUAGGCGGUUAUUCAAGUCAGAGGUGAAAGCCUGGAGCUCAACUCCAGAACUGCCUUUGAAACUAGAUAACUAGAAUCAUGGAGAGGUGAGUGGAAUUCCGAGUGUAGAGGUGAAAUUCGUAGAUAUUCGGAAGAACACCAGUGGCGAAGGCGGCUCACUGGACAUGUAUUGACGCUGAGGUGCGAAAGCGUGGGGAGCAAACAAGAUUAGAUACCCUGGUAGUCCACGCCGUAAACGAUGAUAACUAGUUGUUGGGGCUCUUAAGGAGCUUCUAGUAGACGCGAGCUAACGACAUUAAGUUAUCCGUCCGUCGGGUAGGUACGGUCGCGAAGAAUUAAACUAACAAAGAAGUUAGACGGCGUGAGACGUGCCGAACGGACGACGACGAGGGAGGUAGG